GAACAGUCUGCUUUUGCUAAGAGUGGAAAUGCCUCUGCUGAAAUGAUCUUGUGGGAAUAGGAAGAUGCAAGAAGAAAAUGUUCAAGUAAUCUGUAAAGCCUGCACAAUGCUACAAACAGAAGGAAAGUUCACAUAAGGAAAUGAGAGCUGAAGGAUAGUGAUUGAUCAGUAUCAUAUGCUGUCCUCAUGUGCCUCUAACCAGGGUAUGUUGGGACUUCACUUUGCAGGGAUGAGGCAAGUGGAGGCACAAUAGAGACAGGAGAUUUCAGUUUUAAGGUGAACUUGAUUGCAGGCUUCUGACAACCUUCUCAAGGACACAACCCAUGAGGCAGAAGGCUAAAUUUGGAUUUGAUCCAUGGCUGGCCAGUAGCUUUCUGUUGAUGGGUGUUGAACACAGUCUGCUGGAGGCAACCCUGUCUCAAAAAGUCCCUACACUAACAGUCAGUGGGAGCUGUGAAAGAAAAAGAACGGAAACACAGCUCAAGGCCCACUACUUACAGCAUUGUCCUGAGCCUCCAUUGCUGACAGCAUUCAGGACAGUCUCCUGGAGUUCUGGCCCCAGAUCCAGCAUGGUACUUAAUAACCUGAAGAUUCCUGCAGCAGAAGCAAGAGUUAAAGCAAAAAAAUGGCAGAGAACCUGGAUCCCAGUGAUACCAUGGUGGCUUGAGUGGUCUCUGCUCAGUGCAUGUCUCUGCUUCUGGCAGGGGAGGAACAGCCAAGAGUGCAUGUGA
This 731-nucleotide long non-coding RNA is filed under the name Cyanistes caeruleus (blue tit). RNAcentral describes it as "lncRNA (ENSCCEG00000010408.1)". Lineage: Eukaryota; Metazoa; Chordata; Aves; Passeriformes; Paridae. The record is from RNAcentral.